Molecule: ribosomal RNA, 541 nt
Filed under: uncultured Gallionellaceae bacterium
Lineage: Bacteria; Pseudomonadati; Pseudomonadota; Betaproteobacteria; Nitrosomonadales; Gallionellaceae
Description: bacterial SSU rRNA
Rfam family: Bacterial small subunit ribosomal RNA
Source: RNAcentral
AGUGGGGGAUAACGUAGCGAAAGUUACGCUAAUACCGCAUAUGCCCUGAGGGGGAAAGGAGGGGAUCGCAAGACCUUUCGCUUUCGGAGUGGCCGAUAUCAGAUUAGCUAGUUGGUGGGGUAAAGGCCCACCAAGGCGACGAUCUGUAGCGGGUCUGAGAGGAUGAUCCGCCACACUGGGACUGAGACACGGCCCAGACUCCUACGGGAGGCAGCAGUGGGGAAUUUUGGACAAUGGGGGCAACCCUGAUCCAGCCAUGCCGCGUGAGUGAAGAAGGCCUUCGGGUUGUAAAGCUCUUUCAGCCGGAAAGAAAUCGCGCAGGCUAAUAUCCUGUGUGGAUGACGGUACCGGAAGAAGAAGCACCGGCUAACUACGUGCCAGCAGCCGCGGUAAUACGUAGGGUGCGAGCGUUAAUCGGAAUUACUGGGCGUAAAGCGUGCGCAGGCGGUUUUGUAAGACAGGCGUGAAAUCCCCGGGCUUAACCUGGGAACUGCGUUUGUGACUGCAAGGCUAGAGUGUGGCAGAGGGGGGUAGAAUUCCA